UCUAUCUUUAUUUAGUGUUGGAACGG
RNAcentral lists this non-coding RNA (26 nucleotides) under Mus musculus (house mouse). Lineage: Eukaryota; Metazoa; Chordata; Mammalia; Rodentia; Muridae. The record is from RNAcentral.